UCAACUAGCUGUCGGGGUCUUCGGACUUUGGUAGCGCAGCUAACGCGUGAAGUUGACCGCCUGGGGAGUACGGUCGCAAGAUUAAAACUCAAAGGAAUUGACGGGGACCCGCACAAGCGGUGGAUGAUGUGGAUUAAUUCGAUGCAACGCGAAAAACCUUACCUACCCUUGACAUGUCUGAAAUCCCGAAGAGAUUUGGGAGUGCUCGGAAAGAGAAUCGGAACACAGGUGCUGCAUGGCCGUCGUCAGCUCGUGUCGUGAGAUGUUGGGUUAAGUCCCGCAACGAGCGCAACCCUUGUCAUUAGUUGCUACGAAAGGGCACUCUAAUGAGACUGCCGGUGACAAACCGGAGGAAGGUGGGGAUGACGUCAGGUCCUCAUGGCCCUUAUGGGUAGGGCUUCACACGUCAUACAAUGGUCGGGACAGAGGGCAGCCAACCCGCGAGGGGGAGCCAAUCCCAGAAACCCGAUCGUAGUCCGGAUUGCAGUCUGCAACUCGACUGCAUGAAGUCGGAAUCGCUAGUAAUCGCGGAUCAGCAUGCCGCGGUGAAUACGUUCCCGGGUCUUGUACACACCGCCCGUCACACCAUGGGAGUGGGUUCUACCAGAAGUAGUUAGCCUAACCGCAAGGAGGGCGAUUACCACGGUAGGG
Molecule: ribosomal RNA, 651 nt
Filed under: uncultured Alcaligenaceae bacterium
Lineage: Bacteria; Pseudomonadati; Pseudomonadota; Betaproteobacteria; Burkholderiales; Alcaligenaceae
Description: bacterial SSU rRNA
Rfam family: Bacterial small subunit ribosomal RNA
Source: RNAcentral